CGUCAUCAAGACCAUGUUUUUCUCAUGUCAUUCUCUUAAGGAAAACGUAAUGGGAUGAUUCUGCAAUCUUGUUUCAUAUUCAUUUCUACCAACCGUAAAAAGGAUGUUGAUACAUAAUUGGUUCGUGUUCCCGAUUAGUUAGGAAAAAUAUAAAGAUGCUUUGAAAUGUAAAUGAUGGUACGAGGUUUCUUGUAGGAAAGCAAGAAUCGUGGUUGGCAUUCCUUAAUGAAAUUAACACCCUCGUUAAAAAGUUUCGUAACUUUGGCCUGUAGGCUUGUUAUUACUGUUGACUUAUAUUAGGAUUCCUAUAAUUGUGGGAUUCCUACUGUAAUUGGUUUCCUAGUUUAGGAUGUAAUUAUUCUUCCCUUAUUCUUUCCCAUAUCUGUAUAGGGUUGUAUAUAUACCUUGUUUUUGAUAUGAAAUAAUAUAUCAUUGAAAAGCAUUCUUUCUUCUUGGCACCAGAGCCGGGUUAGAAAAAAAAACUGAACCCUAGUUUUUUUCCUGCCGUGUACCUGAUCCAUUGCAGCAAGCAACCUUAGGGUUGUUUACUGCCCGUUCCCUGACUGAUUGCAGCGAGCACCAGAGAAGGUGUUGCUGCUCUGACCGAUUGCAGCGAGCACCAGAUAGGGUGUUGCUGCCCUGUUGAUUUGUCCAACGUGUUCUAGGUCCCAUCACCGCUGCUGUUUUUUUUUUUUCCUCUGCCUAGUUUGUGUCAGUCAACACCGAAGCAACAGAGAGAUGGCUGAAGAAAAGGGGGCUGGUUCACAGAUUGUUUCAGCGGCUGCUCCAAUUAUGGUGCAGUCAGAGAAUUCAAGCUUUAAUAUUGGUAUGGUUUUGGAUGAAAAGAACUAUGAUUUAUGGGCUCCUCUCAUUCAAAUUCAUAUUGCUGGAAGGAAGAAGAUGGGAUAUCUUCGUGGGUCUAUCAAGGCACCUAGCGAAGAUGAUCCUAAAUAUGAUGAUUGGUUUUCUGAAGAUCAAAAAAUUAAGAGUUGGCUUUUGUCUUCCAUGAAGCCCGAGAUUAUGAAACGGUACAUUCGGUUGUCUACAUCGAAGGAGAUUUGGGACUCCUUGAAGGCUGCCUACUUUGAUGAGAAUGACGAGGCUAGAAUUUAUUCGUUGAAUCAGAAGGCAUCCCGUCUGCGUCAGAAUGGCCGACCCUUAGCUACCUAUUUUGGGGAGCUCACUGAGAUCUUCCAAGAAUUGGAUCACUUUAAUAAAGUAUCCAUGGAGUGUGAGAAUGACAUAAAAGUGUUUCAGAAAUCCACUGAGAGACAACGGGUCUAUGUGUUUCUUGGUGGUCUUGAUGAUGGGUUUGAUCAGGUGCGUGGAGAAGUGCUGCGGAAGGAUCCCCCACUUGGCCUGCAGGCUUCUUAUGCCUAUGUUUGUCGAGAAGCCGAUCGAAAGGAAGCAAUGAAGACAGAGGUUGACAAGGGGGAGUCUGCUGCCAUGGCAGCAAGGGCCCGUGGAUCAUCUAGUGGGUCGAAUCGAGAAGGGGUACAAAACAGGCCUGGAUCAACUCGGCCAAACCAGACAAGCCGGGAUCGUCCACAAGGUAAGUGCCCACACUGUGGCCUGACGGGACACUCCAAGAGUCGUUGUUUUGAGCUGAUUGGAUAUCCCGAGAAUUGGGAUAAGACCCGUGAUCCUCGGUGCAACAAAUCUCGAGCCUCCAUUGUCGAAACCAAGAAUGAUUCGGAUCAGAUAGCGGACAAGGCAUCUGCCAUGAUAGCUGCGGCAGGAAGUGAUGGUAAGGCACUCAGUACUUCUACUUCUGUUAUGAAUAAUACAUGGAUAAUUGAUUCCGGAGCUACUGAACAUAUGACUUGUGAUUCUAGACAGGUUCCAUCACUAAAAACAUCCACACAAACCGAGGUCAAUGUUGCUAAUGGUAAUGCCGUCCCUGUUAUUGGGGAAUGCGUUGUUUCCCUUUCUGAUACCAUGAAACUUGACACUGUUCUUGUGGUUCCCUCUCUAAAUUAUAAUUUGUUGUCCGUUGCUCAAAUAACCCUUGCCUUACAUUGUUUGGUUAUUUUUUGGCCAUAUUUUUUGUGUUUUUAAGGACAUCCGGACGCGGAAGACGAUUGGUUAUGGUAUUAGAAGAGGGAAACUUAUUACUUGGAGUUGACCACCAGUAGUUCUAGCUUGCUGACUCAAGCUCUUUCCGUUGAGAUUCUCAAGGGUUAUUGCCUUCUCACCUCCGAGGUCCAAGGCCUCACCCGUCAAUUCUCCUCCUGUGUCCACCGACCACUGCGUUGAAGAAAUUUGGUUUGGGACUGUAUCGGUCUUCUUGAUAUGCAAACUGUUCAUGGAAGCAGGAGCGGCAGCAGCAACAAGAGGAGCGCUCGGAGGGCCAUGUCGCUUCUUUGGGACAGGCAUGUCAUGGUCAUGUACCCCCUUGUAUGUUAUAAUUACAGCACUUGUGUUAUCUACGGCUGUUUCAAUGUGUUUCCGAACUGGACACCCAGCAGAAGUACAUCUGUAGUAGUUCCUAAAAAAAAAUACAAUAAUGGAUCAAAAUCAAAGUAAGAAUACAUGUAGUAUUUAAUUAUAAAGCUCCGAAUGCCAGCUCUGAAUAAAUUCCGUUCACUAUUUUUUUACUUGUACAUCUAAAGUGGCAGAUCUCCUUUAUAACAAAAGCUUCAUUUGAUUAGAGAUGCCACAAAAUGCGUUAAAGCAUUCUUUGAUGAAUAUCAUUUAUGCUCUGCUUGCUUCUUAGAAAUGCAAAUAAACAAAAAAUGGAACCAACUAAGAUUGCUUAAGAGUCAAUCACUAAUUUGAUCAUUGCAUUUUCGAGUUAUUCGGAUUGUAUCUUUCGCAAAUUAACUGCGCUGUGAAGUUUUAAAGUAAACACCUUGCACAAAGGAAAGACGAAGUCUAUGUAAAAAUGACGCAUACUGAACAUCAUUUAACCACAUAUAACAACGAAUUUAAACCCCAGAUGCUGAUUAAUUAGGCUAAUAUCAAACUACCAAGGAAGAAAAAGUGAAGGAAAUAGGAAUGCACCUGGGAUGAGGGUUUCCUUUCACCAUCUUCUGUCCAUAUUUGCGCCAUCUGUAUCCAUCACCUGAUAUUCCAACAUCCCCAGCCGCAUGCACAACAAAUUUAGGUUUCUUGCCAGGUUUUGAGAGAGAAGCAGAAUAUUCUGAUUUGCUUUUCUUCAUUCUGUUUAUCAAUGAGGCAAGCAUUAGAACCAAGUAACAUACUCCUUUCAACUAGUACAAAAUACCGGGGGGGGGGGGGGGGGGGGGGGGUGUGAAAGAAAACAAAAUCUACAGGUAAACUUGCCUUCGUUUUGGUUCUGGCUCAUCACCAUCACCAUUCUCCUCCUUGAUUUUUACAUCGCCAUUAUCAUCAGAGUCACUUGCGCUCUGCCGUUUUCUUUCAGGAACUGAGGGUGUUUCUUGAAUAGGUUCUUUUGAAGAUGUGGACACCUCUGAAUCAUUAACCGUUCGGUAGGAAUGUUCUGCAGGAGCAACACUAUAUCUUACACACUCAGCAGAUAGUGCAAGCUUACUUUCCUUUAUGCAGAUACUUUUCCGAGGGGGAUCAUGAGUAUGUUGGCUUUUGUAAACAAUAUCUGUUACAUGGCCUGAGUGAUCACAGCAUUCUAUUUUCUUGGCAUAACACUCAGAAUAUGUGCACCUAUAAUAGCUUCGAGAACCUUGAGGGCUCUUUACUUGCUUCUGACCGUAUUUCCGCCAGUUGUAACCAUCUGAAGCAGAUGUCUUUCCAUGAGGAACUCUUCGUUCUAUUAGAAUUGGGCUUGGAGCAGAUGAAAUGGAUUGAGUGACAGAAGUUGGAGAUAGUUCUGAAAACGGAGUUGGAUAAACAGUCAACUGAGACUGACUUUGCUUCUGAAUCUGAACAUCUUGGUUUGUUACACUUGCCAAAAUUUCCUGGUGGCUCAGCCCAAGUUGCUCCUGAGAAAUAACAACGAAAAUGAUUAUACAACCAAAAUGUAGGGAACCAGAGGUUUGACUUUUAAUAACAAAGGGUGUACUAUUCUGGAGUUGCAUCAAAUUCAAACGAUGUUAUACAAGAUGCAUCUAAACCCAUGCCUCAAGUUAGACUGUUAGAGGUCUGAAUGAGAUGAUGUACGGUCAAUAAAGUUUCAAUGCUCCUCCCACCUAAGAAUAUAUAAGAAGACAGUUUAUAAAAGCCCUAAGAUAGUGGAGGUUCUUUCACAUGAGCUGAAGAAUACAUACACUAAAUGCUUGGUUACUGAUUUAUCAAAGAUUUUCUUUAUCUUCAGACACUUGUUAGUAUAAAUUGAUUAACACGUACUUUGGGUACACACCAUGCGUAUAGGUCACAUCUCCAUUGUUCUGUCAUUAAAGAUUAUUACUCCUAACAUCAAAGUACGAACAAGAGGAAAUCAAAUACAGUGAAGCAACUAAUAUUCCAUCUCGAGUCAACUGAAUUUGCCUUCUAGUGGAUCUAUCAUAAAAUAUAAAUAAUUUUCUCUUCGGAUCUUAUCUGAUCCCUGAGUGGCCAAAUUUCCUACUUUUGAACGUUUGCUUUUGAGUUCAAUACAUCCUGCCCAUUCCCGGUAUGAUGUGGGGUACCUGUGGUUUUGUAUUAAGGUGAAACUUGUUCUUUUGAGCCAUUAAUAGGUGAUCCUAGCCUACUAACUUUCAGUAAUGCAAAUUUUUGCUUCUAAUUGUCUCUUCGAUGAUUCUCUUCCAAUUACUCAAACAUCGCUUCGCCUCUCCAAAAAGCAAGCAGAUUACAAAGCUUUCCCUACUUGGUACCUAAUAAGAGCGCUUAACACUUGCAAAUCAACAUUAACUACAAGGCCGUAAUCACAAGGAUUUCAGAUUCAUGAUUCCAACCCGCAAACAAGAACUUCAACAAACUUGUUUGCCCUUAUCCCAUAGGAAACGCAUUCAUAGCUUUCAAUAUCCAACCGAGAAAAAAAAAGUAAUCUCAUUUCAAGCCAUAAUCUUCUCUAGUAUCCUAAUCCUAACCCUCAAAACAAUCAGUAACAUCACACAAUUAAAAAUGCUUAAGACUCACUUAGCCAACGAUCAAAAGCUCAGAAAUUUCAAAUGAUUGAACUUCUAACCUGCAAUUCAGCUCCAUCAAUCGACUGUGACACGGACUCAAGCUGCAAACCUGCAUGAUCAACCACACACGAUCACCCCCCUUCACCAUAAUCCCACCCAAAAAAACAAAAAAAAAACAAAAAAGGCACCGUUUUCCGAAAACACAAAGCUUUACCUGCAAACUGAUCCUUCUCUGAAAAUUCCUGCGUCGAAGGCUCCAUUAGGGUUUUUAAUUGUGUUUGCCUCAACUCGGAUACAGAACUCUUUAACUCGCCGGGUUGAAAUUCACCGAGUCGUUGUUUUCGUUCUUCGUCAUCGUCUUCGUCUCCGCUGCCGCCUUCUUCUUGUUCUCCUUUCCUUGGGUGUAGUUUCUCCGUUGGGAGAGCAUCGGAGCUCUCGUGGUGCUCCGCCAUGGCCGAUUUGUCACUCUCAGAGAGUAAAGUUUGUCGACACUGUUGGCGCUGUGCGUUUCGUAGUGUCCGAAAUCGAGCCGAAAUUUAGACCGAAAUCGUGAAAUGUUUCGGGUUCCGUGUACCGGUUUGAUUAGGGAGGGAGAGAGAAAGGCGGAGAGAGGGUUACUCUAAAGAGGGGGGAUAUAUGUAUGUCUUUGACUGGAAUUGACUCAGGUGGUUUUAAUGACGGUGUAACUGAAGCCGUUAAUAUCUCCGUUAUAUGAGAUGCAGGGAUCGCCGUGGGUUCUGCUGACUUGACGGUUUCUUGUAGACUGCCGUUUGGAGUCGGACGCAGCGACCCAUUUCUGUAAUUGUCUUAUUCUCUGUAUUAUUGUAUUAAUCAGAUUAAUUAGUUUAUUGCAUUAGAGUUAGUACUGUUGUGAGUCGUGAAGGAUUGAUUGAUCACACUUUUUGCAUUAAAUCUUAAAAGGAUUCGGUUCUCACUUUUAUUAAAACAAUAGUUGCCAGUUAGAAUAGUACCAAUGAAAUUCUUCUAUGUUUCAGUGCAUGACGUUUAUUAGAUUAAAUAAAAGUAUGUAUGGACGGUUAAGGAUCCAACAGUUAAAGAUUUAAUGGCCACAAAUGUCGUUGUGUAGGAAGAAAGUUGAAGUUUCACCAUAGGAAAUUUUAACGAAAAGCUCCCGCUACUGUUCACUUUAACGAAAAAUCACAUUUUUACAUUAAAAAGUCAAUCAUUGUACUAUUCACUUUACCGUUUAUUUUGUCUUUAUCGUUAAAACUCAAAGUUUUCAAGCUCUUUUCAUUAGUUUUCUUUAAUUAUAAGGAGUGAUCCAACUUACUUAUAAGUCCAGGCAAUGAUCAGAAUUGAAUAUUUUCUCGGUUUCCGAGAAGUGUCUUAAUGGGUCCAUCACUUUUCAAAACCUAACACGUAAAUAAUAUAACGGGGUAACGUGGAGCACGUGUGACCUUUUAACUUCACACGUGGCACAACUUGCUCUGAUACUUUGAAUAAAGUUGAGGUUCCACUAUACAACAAAUUGUCAAUAUUGGGAGUAACCCAACUUAUUUAUAAGUCUAGGUAAGGUCCCUCCUCCUAUCAAUGUGAGAAUCAUUCUCAACAAUAUAUUAUACACAAUGCAGUCUCUGAAAUCUCAAGAUUGUUAAGUAUAUGCUAUAAUGAAUAGCUUACACUCUAUUUAGAUAAAGAAAUUUAAUAUUACUAGGAAAUUUUAAAAUGAUAGAAUUUUAUUUUUUAGAAUUUGUGAAUUUUCUUGUUUGGUUAACCUAAAAGGACAAUGAAAUUUGAAUACAAAGUUUAUUAUUUCUAACGCUCAUUCAUAGAAAUUUAGAAAUAAUACAUAUUCACAUGGAAUUUAAACUUUGGAAAUUAGAGGUUCCAAAUUCUAAGUUUUUUUUCCACACAAAAAUUCUAAAUUUAUAUGAUUAUAAAUCCAAAUAAGAAACCUGAUGCAUGUCAAUUUAUUUACACAUGAAGAAUUUACAUGCAAUAAGAAUAUACUAAACCAAUCCUGGCAGGUUAUAUGGAAAAAUUAAGUACAUGAUGGUUAGUUUUUAAAAUAGCAGUAUAGACGGAAUAUCGAUAUGAAAAUUUAUGGAAAUAUCAAUAUGGAUAUCGGCUACCUUUGAUGAAAAUUUGGAAUAGGAUGGUAUAUCAACUUAUUAAAAUUUAGUUGAAAUUAGGAAGAAAAUUUCUCAAAAAAAUUCAAAAGUUCGACAUUUGAUAUGGUUUAUGACAAAAUUUAUGUAGUGAGAAUUAAAUAUUGUCGAAUAUUCAUUGAUUGUCCUUCCUCUUUUUUCCAUAUCAAUCUUUAAUUUUUCAGAUAUUUCAAAGAAAAUAUCGCCAACAUAAAUAUUUUAACGUUAAUAAUGAUACAUAAAAUAUUUGGAAUACCGAUUUAGCAUAUUGCUCGCAUAUAAGUUUCUCUUCGUCAACAAAGAAUGGACGUUUCGAUAUUUUGCAACCAUAUAUAUUCUUUUGAAAAGCUAUGUAAUAUGUCCUAGCUAGGAACAAAAAAUGUAUAGGUUUAUAGUGCCUUACUUUUAGGAUAAUGAUAUGAGUUCUAUCCAUACACCUCUUUUUACUUUUCACACAUCAUCUGUAAAUUUCUGUCACUUGAUAUUCUUCAAUUCAUCCGAUCAAACGGUUAAAUUUUUUAAUCACAUCUCUAAUGAUAUAAAAAGGACGGUUGGUAAAGUGUUAUCUCCCCCCUAAUUCGUCUCUAAUAAAAAAAAAAAUUAAUAACGAAUCCGAAUAUUGAUGAAUUUGUAAGAACAUUGAAGCUAGUUAAAAAAAUUGUCAGCAAAUCAAUAUCAAGUUAUCGAAUCCGAAUGUGUAUAUUCUGAAUUAAAAGGUGUGGUUGUGAAAUAUUGGUACAAAGUCAAAAAAUGUAAAAAGUGAAUGGCAAUGUGCUUUAUUCUAUCAGCUUCAGAAUAUUUGCCAAACCAAUUUGACAAUUCAAUCCCCUACAACCCCAACAACCAUCCCAAUCUCAGCCCAAUUAGUUGGGCCAAGACUGCCUAACCAGGAGAUUCUGACCCGACCCAGUACCAGAGUGGUCUGACGUCAGCAUGACAUCAACCACGUUAAAAAAAGUUGGAAACGUAUUUGCCUUUUUGAAACCGCCGCCCUAUGGAAUGCAUCCUGAAUUUAGAAUCGCUGCCUUGUGAAAUGGAAUGAGGAUCAUUAAAUCACGUCCGUUCAUCGUACAUUAUAUGAUUAAUUUUCAUCAAAUAUUAUUUAUAUUUAAUUUGAAGUAAAAAAAUUACAACAAUUUAUGAGUUCACGAUAUACGAUGAAUGGACGUGAUUGGAGAUAUCUGGAUCCUCACAAAGAGGAUCCGGAGAGGAUCCUCGUUCUUGUGAAAUGCAUCCUGAAUUGCCUUUUUGACUUCAUCGACGGAUCAACCACGACACAUUUCAGGACUUUGACGUCUUAUGGGUGGUGUUAUUCAAACUUCUUUUUACCUUUUCCGCUCCAUUCAAUUUUAACAUUUGGAUUAAUGAAUUAAAAAAUAUAAAAUGAUAUAAAUUAAUAAGAGAUGAGUGGGAAAUAAAAUCGAUGUGUGGAUAGCAUCACACAUAUUGAUUUGUUUCUUUCUGGUUAUGGAAAAACAAUCUUUUUCAUAACUCAAAACGCAACUAUACCACACUACCAAAAUUUUGAUUAAAAGCUUCCAAUUAAACUGCUUUGAUUAAAGAUUAAAGUUUAAAGGGAGAUUCUUGCUAGAAAGUUAAUAUUGACUGCCAAGAACAUAAUCAGACAGAUACAAUGGUGGUGCUUUGCUUAUUGAAAAAUUGGUAAUGUGCCCAAAUCUGUGCGUGGAACAAAACUUACAUGCCCGGAAUUUGUAUUUCUUGUGUCUACCACACUCAACAUCUGAAAGAUUAUAGACUCGAGAGUGAGUUUAAGGUGGAUUAAGAGGGUGUCGGAAGCAUAAAAUUUGAGAACUUUUUUACGAGUUGAGGUGGAUUACAACACAUUGGAGCUCCUUUUAAGGUCCAUCUCUCCUACUAAUCCCUUGAAGUGAUCUAAUGAGUGACGUAGACAUGAGAAUUUACAUUGGUAAAUCUUUUGUGUUUGUGGUGCCAUUAAGUAUUCACAUGGUAAUAAUUUAAUGAUCGUAUUGUACUUAUGAGUUCACUAACAAGAUGAUAUCAAGAAGGCUUCAUGACUAUGACAGCUCCCACGCCAUGUGAAAAUGGGUUGGGCUAAAAUAUAGACACAUCCCAUGCUUUUGGGAUCGGGGGAUGGGGCGGGCCCGGAGGUGCCCUUCUUCUUCGCCUCCAAUAGGUUACAUGAUUACAUCUGUGUGGCUUAAAUUUCGGGGAGACUAGCGCAUCAACACAGCACGCCACCACGCCUUCCCACGUAAAUCUUAAUUUGAUCCAAGAGGGAAUCAAACCACGACUAUUUAAUAUGAGUAAUUUUCAUAACACGAGUAGAAAACAAUCCUUACAUUAUGUGACAAUCGUUUUCCAACUUCGGGUUCGAGAGAUGAACGGUUCUUCAAAUGGUUCACAUGACGAGGAUGAGAGGAGACAAUGGGGAUACGAAAGCAGUAUAUUAUGAUAUGCAAGUUGAAGAUGAAUGAACACGACUCGAUGAAACACUGACAAAUGCCUGGCUUGGCACCGAGUUCUGAAGAAGCAGGGGGAGAGGGAAUGGUUGGUGAGGGGGAUACUGAAGUUUUCCACAAAAUUCAGAUCAUUUCAUGUAAAUUUCCUUUUUAGGUGGUCGCGUGGGCUAGCAAAUUUUGGGGAGUAAACAUUUUACUUUACGAGGAAUGCUAGAGAUGUAUCAAUUAGAAAUUUAAGGAAUUUUAAUUCUUUUAAUGAAUUCAGGAGUAUUCAAUUAGGAUUUUAAGUUAUUCUCUAAAAUUUAAUGUGUAUUCAAUCAAUAUUUUAAGAUAGAUUAUUAAAAUCCUUAGAAAUCCAGGUAUAUUCAAUCAAAAUUUUAAAGAAAUUUAUAACAUUCUAGGUGUAUUCAAUUAGAAUUUGAAUGUAAAGAAUUAGGAAAAGUUAAGAAAUUUGAGAGAAUUUGAGAUAUUUUAUAAUGUAUUUUAAGCAUCUAUAAAUCUCACUUCUCCCUAUGAGAUUUUAAGGGAAUUGAAUCAAAAUUUUAUAUGAAAUCUUUACAAAUCAGUUAAACAUCAUAAAAAUCCAUGGAUUUAUAAAUUCAUUAAAAUAUCUUAAAUUCCCAAUUGAAUACUCCCUACACUCAUACAAAUCAAUUAUUAUAACACUCGCAUGAAAAUUGACGUUAAAAUGUAAGGUAACAAAUCAUUUAUAAAGAGCCGCUCUUUGAAAAUGUAUGUGCUUUUUACCAAACGUGGUUUGUAUGAGUAAUUGCCUUCAUUACUGGUAUAAACGAUGAGUGAAAGGCUGAAUCCAAACACGUGGCCUUUCGUUGUCCAAUCAAAUAUAUAAUACAAACAAAUUAAAUAAUAGACGAUAUUCCUUCACAGCUCACAAGGAGUCAAAAUUCAGAAUACAAAACGUACGCCAUUUCAAUUUCCAACCUAUCCCAGAAUCAAAGGUAUGCGAUAUGCAUGGUCCUGGCUCUGAAUCGUAACUAAUGCAGCCGCUGCUCGAGUCGGGUCAGUCGCUAAUCACUUCAUUUUUACUUCAUUUUUUUCUGGUGUUUUUUUUUUAUAAAUAUAUUAUAUUCCAUUUGGUGUUGAUUGGUUGCUGGGAAAAAUGCAUGACAGAAAUUAAAUAAUUUAAUUAAAAUUUUCAUUUUGUUUGUGUGUUUGUAUAGAUAACUUGUGGGGUGUGUGUAUAAAACUUAAAAGAAUUGGAAUUGGAAUUGGAUUGACUAGAAAUAGGCUAAUUACUGUGAAGAAAGUAUGUAAAUUGCUGAGUGGAAAUUACCCAAAUUUGGAGUUAUAUUUGGUUCUCCAAAGUUCAAAUCUUUCAGCUGCACAGCUUGAAAUUGAGUAAAGGGUAGGCCUCUUUCUGCUCCUAUCAGCUGCUUCAACUAGUAUGUUUUCUGCUUUAGAACCACCUGCCAUAGUUGUAGAUUAAAAGAAUACAAGACGAGAAGGCAUUCGUUUUAUGGAUAUGCAAAAGCUCGGAAAUCGGGUUUAUUCCUGUAAAUUUUAGUUGGUUUGCUUUGAAUUUUUGUGUAGAGAUUUUGUUUGGUAUAGGUAUUGUAUUUGGUUUCUUUACUGCAGUCUGCAGAGAGAUUGUUUUGAUGCAGUUUGCUUUUGGUUUUGGUUCCUAAUUUCUUUUUGAGUUUGGUUUGGCCUCAGUAGAUAGGCGUCGCGUGGACUUGGUUAUUGAACAUUCAAACUUGAGGGUCCGUCUGAUAACCAUUUCAUUUCGCAUGUUCUUUGGUCUCCUUUCCUAUUAUAUUUUUCCCUCCACUCUAAUUCCUCUUGUUUCUCUACAUCUGUAUGGCAUCAUCACUUUCAUGGUAGAUUCAGUAUUUUCCAUUUACAGCAUAUAUUUAUGGCAUUGAGUAAUCUUCCUUUUCGUGGAACAAAAAGAGACGUGGUUAAUUUGAAACCAUGGUUUUGCACGGUUAAAGGGAUUACAAGCAUGUACAUUCUGUGGGGACUUAAAUCCCAAGAUUUCAUACCCUUUUUAAUGAAGUUUUCUUGAUUGAGUUUUUCACUGUGAAUUCCUUGAUUGUCGUUUAAUGAGUUUAGCAUGCGUUAAUUCUCAUGAUCGUGAAUUCAUGUCAGGGGAAAGAAUGGAGGAGGAAUCGCCAAAACCUCCCGUUUCAUUAUGGGGCCGGGUUUCUGCCAUUGAGACAAGGGCUCGGGAAGCAUACAAAAGCAAGCCAAUCUCGCAUUGGAUUCUCCUUGUCCUUAGCAGUGGGGGCAUGCUUAUAGCGUUUCCUGCAUCUAGUCUUCUUUCUCGUGUGUAUUAUGCCAAUGGAGGCACUAGCAAGUGGAUCAUUUCAUGGGUUGCCGUAGCAGGGUGGCCUCUGAUUGCUUUAAUCUUAUUGCCUACGUACUUCGUCUGCAAAACGACCCCUACUCCCCUGAAUUUAAAACUUACUGUUUCUUAUAUUGUGCUAGGUCUAUUAAGUGCCGCUGACAAUCUUAUGUAUGCUUAUGCAUAUGCUUACCUCCCAGCAUCUACCGCUUCUCUUCUUGCAUCAUCAUCUCUAGUAUUUUCUGCAUUAUUCGGGCACCUACUUGUGAACAACAAACUUAAUGCAGCGAUAGUAAAUGCUAUUUUUAUCAUUACAGCUGCUAUGACCAUCAUUGCUCUGGAUUCAGAUUCAGACAGAUAUGGAAAUGUAACUGAUAAGCAAUACAUUCUGGGAUUUGUGUGGGAUAUUUUAGGAUCAGCACUCCACGGGCUUAUUUUCGCUCUUUCAGAGCUGGUUUUCGUGAAGCUACUUGGUAGAAGGUCCUUCCAUGUUGUGUUGGAGCAGCAAGUCAUGGUUUCUUUCUUUGCUUUCGUGUUCACCACUAUCGGAGUAAUCGUGAAUAAGGAUUUUCAGGGAAUGAAAAACGAGGCCGGAAUUUUCAAGGGCGGUAAGUCUGCUUAUUACCUUGUUCUCAUUUGGAGUGUCAUCAGUUUCCAGUUAGGGGUAUUAGGGGCUACUGCUGUGCUUUUCUUAUCUUCCACCGUUCUCGCCGGUGUGCUGAACGCAGUAAGGGUUCCCCUCACCAGCAUUGCAGCUGUCAUAUUGUUAAAAGACCCGAUGAGCGGGUUGAAGAUCCUCUCUCUGAUUGUUACGUUUUGGGGCUUUGGCUGCUACAUCUAUGGCAGUUCCUCUGCAUCUUCAAGUAGAGAUUCCUCUUGAUAUUUUGUUUUCUGGUUCAUUUGGGUUUAUAUGUUUAUCAUAUCCUAAUGUAGUGAAUUGCUUGGUUAUCAUACAUAUUCCUUCCAAAUGAUAUAAGGAUAUACUUUUUAUAUGUAUAGCUCUGCUUUUGUCUCAAAAUUUUACUUAAACAUUCGGAAAAAACGGUGAAGAUUGUUUAAAAAGUCGAACUACAUGCAUCAACGUUUGCAAAGGAUUCUUCUCGACAAUCGUAAUUGCGUGCAUCAAUCUAGCGUCUGCAUCCAUUUUUUUAUUUUUUUUUAGAAGAAUCAAUUUUAUUAAAGAAUAGAGAAAUACACAGAAGUGGAUAAGAAGUCCACCAACUAUAUUAGAAAGGAAAAUCCCAAUAGGAUUUGGCUACAGCAGCCAUUUCUAGACCUAGCUCACUCAACUGCUGCUAACAAAUCCCACAGUAUUUGAGAUAGAGAGCAAUUAUUGAACUCUUUAGUGAUCGAAGCCCAAAAAGCUGCCCAAUAUUUUACCCUCCUCCAAAGUACUUCUGCCCCCACUUCAGUAUAGUCUUCAAAAAUCCUUUUGUUGCGUUCCAACCAUAUAUUCCAAAAAAAUGCUGAUACCAGGCAACCCCACAAAGCUUUGGAUUUCUUCCCUUUUCCAAGUGCCUUAAAAUUUGUAACUAGUAGCUCGAAACACCCUUUAGGAAUGACCCAACUUACUUUAACCUCCUGAAACAGUUUCCACCACAGUUGGAUCGAGUAGGAGCAAUGAAGAAAGAUGUGAUUUACACUCGCCUCCUUAGCUUUGCACAAGCUACACCAAUGUGGGGAUAAACACAUAAGAGGGGGGAGCAUUUUUGCUCACCACCAUAAACUAUGGUGUAUGCUCACCAUACACCUAAUCAAUUGACACGUGUCAUCUAACUUAAUCUUGGUUAAUUUUUUUCAAAAUUGAAAAACUAACAUUUAAUGUGAAAGUUAACUAGAGUUAAGUGAAAUGACACGUGUCUAUUAAUUAGAUGUAUGGUUAGCAUACACCAUAGUUUAUGGUGGUGAGCAAAAAUGCUCCCAUAAGAGGGUUUCUCCUUUGAACUCUGUCGCAAGUGUUGAGAUUCCCAUUGGCCACAAGCCAUACAAGUAUUUUAACCUUUGGAGGAGCUUUUGAUUUCCAAAUUUGAGAGUAGGGUGGAUAAUAGUGCAGAAUCCCAUUGUUGCUUAGUAAUGAACGAUAGGAUUUGCAUGUGAACAAACCUGAAGCUUCCAGAUUCCACCUUAUGUUAUCCAUUUUUGAUAGAGACAAGCGAACCUCUUCCACUUUCUGUAAUAAUGUGGCCGCCUCUUCUAUCUCCAUCUCAUUCAGAUUUCUCCUAAAGUUAAAGUUCCAACUCAAGGAAUUUGACGAAACUUCCACGAAGCUCGAGAUGUUAUGAUUGUGCUUCCUCAAUAGUAGGAAUAAUCUGGGGAAUUGCUCCUUCAGCGGUCCCCCUGCUAACCACCCAUCCUCCCAAAACCUCACCCUCUCUCCGUUGCCCACCUCAAACUUGCAACAUCUAAGAAAUUGAUGAGAACCACUCAAAAUGUCUUUCCAUGGGCUACGACUUGAAACCCUUCUUGGAGGAAGUGCAUUCCAUCCAUUAACUUGUAGCCCAUACUUGCUUCUUAUCACCUUGUGCCAUAGAGACUAAGACUCCAUUGGGAAUCUCCACAACCACUUAGACAAUAAUGCUUCGUUCUGAUUCCUCAAAUUCCCCACCCCUGGACCUCCUUCCCCCUUGUUUUUAGUAACUAACUCCCAUUUGACCAAAUGGGUUUUCUUACCUUCCUCCACGCCUUCCCAGAGAAACCCCUUCAUUAGUUUUUCCAGACGUCCUCUUACCCCGCAAGGAAUUUUGAACAAGGACAUCUAGUAAAUCGGCAAGCUUCCCAAGAUUGAUUGAAUUAGAGUUAUAGUGUCUGCAUCCAUACGUCCCAAUGUAUCUAACAAGUCGCACUAUACGUCAAUACGAGCGAAAAUAAGCACGAAACGUGAUGUCAUAAAAUUGACAGUGAAACAGAAAUUCAACUCUUGCGAAGAAAAAAAGGAUGACAGUAACAACGAUUCAACAUGUGAAGCAUCAGCAACCAAAACAAAGCAUCCGAAACAUCAGAACAUAAACCUUAACAAAGAUUUAACAUCAAAAUAUUUCAUUUGUUGGAAAAAAACCCAGAGAAAUAGUAUCAUAGAUAUGCAGCAAGCCCCCUUUGCCAAGGGAUCCGGCAGCUAUAAAUCUUCUUUGCGUCAUCACUUUUACAAGCUUGGCAAGAUAAAACACCAUUUAAAACAAAGGUUUCAUUGCAAGGUUAAUAUGGUUCCACCAAAAAUAAAAGUAAAAGCAAAGAACGUCUUGCCAUCAGCUAGAGCUACUGCUACAGCAUCAUACUUAAUUCUUCGGACCAAUGUCCUUGAGGGCACAGAUCUGCUCCUCACCCAUGGCAGACAUGACGGUCACCACAAGAUCCUUUCCAUCAUUAAACCCGUCCUUGAUCUAUAAAAAACACAGAAAAUGAAAAGCUUUAGUCGAAUACGAAGAAAAGAGAUACAAAUUACAAUAAAGCAACCACGGUAUAUGAGUUUUUUUCUUUGCUUGAUGAGAUAGAUACCUGGGUAAGCAGACUGUCGUCAGUGGGAAGCCUCAGAUCAUCCUUGGUGUUUCCAUUUUCAGUCAAAAGACUCACCUACAACAUGUCGAACUCCAGUUAGAGCAAAUAAAAUGGAAGAAAUGCAUGUCAAAAGAAAUAUAUAACUUCCGUUAACAUAACACAGACAGAGAAGAAAAUUAUCGUGAAACUCCCAAAUAUAAAUUCAUGCGUCAAAAUCUCAAAUAAUAGAUGAUUCUACUGUCUUAAGUUUGCUUCCUUUGGUAUCAUCAUUACCAUCGAAGCGCACAUAAAUUCACAUAACAAUCAAAAUUUCUGAUGACAUCCUUGGAACUAAUUGUCAAGAAAACUUACAAAGCCAUCCUCAGAGAUAUCAAUCAGCUGGUAGUCAGUACGGUUGACAUGGGGAACCUGAAAAAACAAUGAUAAAUAAGCGGAGAAUGAAUGAUCCAACUUAAAACCAAGAAAUACAACACAUACAAAGAUACACAAUUUCACAAAAGACAAAUUUCUCGAAAGCAAUUACAUCACAAUUGUGGGACGAAGGAACAAUAUCUUCAAGCUUCUUUCCAUUGAAAAUAUCAAUUGCCACAAAGUGGCACUUAGCGUGACCGUGCUUUCCAGUUUUGGAGGUGGAGACUUCAACAACCUGUAAUGAGAGCAAACAUGAUUUUAACUGAGAAUGGAUUAAUCAAAUCAAGCAUUCAUAUAGAAAUAAUAUACAAGGAUGAUGAGCACUAAAAUUUCAGUUUUAUUAGUUGGUCAGAUAAGAAAAAUUGGGAUUUACGGUUCAAUUUACAGCACAAAAACUUUAGAUAUCAAUAAGGACCAGUUGUAUUUGUGUACAGAGUGUGUGCGUUUGUGCUAAGCCCCAACACAACAAAUCUAGACCUACACAAAGAUGCCAUGGAUUUAAUUGCCAGCCCUAAUAAUUGUAACAAACGAAUGCGCAAUACCGAGUUUUACUUGUGUAUGACUGUAUGUGUGCUACGUGAUAAAUCGAUUGCGUCCACAAGAUUCGUUACUGACUACUCCCUCUGAGUACCCAGCAUGAGAGCCAAACAUUAACAACAAAUUCAAAAACACUAAACUCCCAACAAAUAAAUUGCAAUCCCCAAAUCUUUCGAUUCGACAACAUCACCACCAUUAACAACACAAACAAAUAAACAAAUAAUCAUCCGCAACAAUAAACAUAGGAAUUAACAACACAAACAAAUAAUCAUCCACAACAAUGAGAUCAUGAAUAAUCAAAUACCAAAACCAAAUCAACAAAAUACACAGCAAAGCAAACAAAUUCAAUCAAAGCUUGAAAACCCAACAAAGAUCUGUCGAAACCACAAAACCCAGAUGAAUUUUGACCCAAAAGCCCUGAAAAAUUGCAUCUCGAAUUCGAAAAAUUAGGGAAGAAAUAGACCUUGCAAGGUCUGGCCUUGAUGACGAUGUAGCCAUUCUUGCGGAUGGUACCAGCCUGCUGGGGAUAGGUCUUAGAUGCGCCGGCGUCGGCCUUGGAUUCGAACUGGUGCUCCUCGUCCGACAUCUCUCUGCCUCCGAAGUUGAUGACCGAGCUUCUCUGUCCCCCUUGGGUUUUCUCUUUGUUUCUGCUAAAACAACGAAAGAGGGCGACUUCUGGUUUUGGGACUGCAACCGGCUCUAUAUUCCAAGGUUUCUAGGUCAUCUGUUAACCAUGGUUACUCAGAUCGAUUCUCCACCGUUGGAUCUGUUAUAAACUUAUCCAAAAAGAAUAGAAGAAAGAGGAGGUUAUCCAUCCCUUUCUUUUUUAUUAUUAUUUUUCUUUUCAAUUUUCUUAUUUAAUUUUUUAAAUGAAUUAUAAAUAUAUGUUUUCACACAGAUAAAUAAACUAAACUCUUGUGAACUAAAUAAAUUAUAUGACUAAAUACUUAUAACGGCAUAUUUUUUAAAUAUGAGUGUCAACAACAAAUUGUUCACGAUUAAAUACUUAUAAUUUUUAGUGCGGUUAACUGCAUAUUUUCAAAAUAUGAGUAUGAACAAUAAAUUGUUCGCAUUUAUUGAAUGUCUUUUAAUAGUAUGAUUGUUUGCCGUCCAUAAAUUUUACUGAAAAUGAAAUUAAUCAUGCAGAAAAAUAUCAUAUAAAUAAAAGUUAAAUAUAUUUACUUGAUAUAAUUUCACUCGCCAUCAAAUCGUAGCAAAAUAGUAGAAUAUGCCGCAUAGUGAUGGAAUUUAUUUUAUUUUUUUGGGAGCAAAGUGGUGGAAUAUUUUAUCACUAUCAAAUUCACCACAGUUCUUAUCAUAGUUGAACUAAAAACCACUAGGUUGACUUUUACGUGUUCUCCGGAAUAGGAUUGGAAUUCAGAUGAUGAAUUAAUCGUGUUUGUUCAUCGUAUAUCAUACGAUUAUAAAUAUUUUAAAUUUAAAAUUGAAUAUAAAUAGUACCUAACGAAAACUGACUGCACAAUGUACGAUGAACGAACACGAUUGAUUGAUCUCCAGAUCCCCACAAAGAGGAUUAGGAGAUGAUCCUUAUCUGUGUUUUCCAUAUUAAUACUUAUUCAUAAUUAUAAAGAAAACUAUUUUUUCUCAAUUUUGUCUAAAUCCCUUUGUUUCUUUACUCUUUUUUUAUUUCUUUUUCCUAAUUUUAAAUUGUCUUAUUCCACAAAUUCAUGGUCUCACAAGAUAAAUAUUUUUUUUAAAUAAAAUCAGUUCGUGACUUCACCACACAGCAGUCUACUACUCUAGGAGCCAAUAAAGCUCAUAGUGAUGCCUCCAUUGCUAACUAUUUGUAGUUUAUCGACGUCAGGAAUUAUCUUAUAAAUAUAAGGAAAUUUUAACGAAAAACUCAUGAUACUGUUCAUUUUAACGAAAAACCAUAUUUUUACACUAAAAAUCAAUUAUGAUACUUUACCCUUUAUUUUGUUCUUAUCGUUAGAACUCAGAAUUUUCAAAUUAUUUUCAUUAGUUUUCUUUAAAUAAAAAUAGCUCACACUAAACGUUCACGUCUCUCCUCUUUUAAAGGAUGCCGUAUUGGACUUGGACCGAACUAAAGAAUCAUAUGCCCAUUACAACUCUUCAUGGGCCCAUCAAUUAUUCCAACGAACAAAACCAAUUAGUUAACCAUGCAAAAAUGCUAUAUUUUCUUAGCUCCCAUAUUAUUCCACAAUAUUUUCUUUUUCUUUGACCAAAGAUUUUUUGAAAAUAAGAUAUAUAAUAUUUUAUUGAAUAAAAUUAAUUACAAUGCUGGAGCAAUAUAAUUUUGAAAAAAAAGAAUCGGUUCUUCGAUUUAAUUUCAAGAGAUAUUGAAAUAAAAAACAUUCAUGACACCAUAUAGGAGUAAAACUUCUAUAAUUAUCAGUACGCACUGGACCGAUCAUGUUAAAGAAAUGGGAAAACAAUGUAGGUAAAACCUAAAUUUGAUGACAAAAUACUUCAUCAUCAUUAUGGAUUCUUUCAUAUACCAUUCCAUUCCACUAUGAGUUUGAGGCUUAGGGUUUUAGAGAUGGAAAGGUUAUGCAAAAAGGUGUAAAUGAAAGGGAGAAAUUGUGUAUAAUUAUGCUACGGGUGCCAUUGCGGCAUGGCGUUCUAUGUUAAUGAUACUAUCAUAAAGGAGAAAAAUUUACACAUGAUAUUGUAUCAUUGAAACAAGAUAUCACAGUUCGAUGUACUUGUACUAAUUAGAAGAUAUAUCAAUUAUGAAUAUAUGUGAUUUAUUUGGUGUCUCUCUCCGACCGCUUGUGUUAUAUUUGAUAUUGCAUCUUCAUGUGGAGUGACUGCGAGGGACCAUUCCCUUACUCAGAAAAAGGGAGAGACACACUGUAACGUCCCGACCCGAAUUUUUUGUUUUGGAAUUUAUAUUUAAUGGUAGGGCAAAAAAUAAACUCUUGAUUACUUACUACCAUUAAUCCCAAUUUAUUUAAUAAAUUCUUAAUUUCUCACAAAAUCUAUAGCUAAAUUUAUUUGCCAAAAACAUAGGAUUAAUCUUUAAACUAAACACCCAAUCCCCUUUCUUAUUUCUAAUUUUCGAUAAAGAUUAAUCUCGGUUAUUUUAAGGCUGGAUCUAACUCUCGUUAGACUACCUACAUACCCUUGAACGGGAUCAAGCAUUUCGUAGUUCACAAUUUCAUUUCUAGUCUAUUUUAAAAAAUAUUCAACUAGUGGAAAUAUUCAAUAUUGAACUUUAACAAUCGAAUCACAUUGAAUGGAUACUAAUUACGAAUUUAAAAUAUCGAAUUUUGUGUAAAAAGGCAAUAUCGGCCCAUUGGCCACGCGCCGUCGCCGCUGAUGGUGGUUUCUGGCGAACAGAAACCAAAUUUUCUGACUAACUCUAAAAAUUACCAAAUUUUAUAGACAAAUAGUGUAAUACCCUGAAAAAUGUAAAUAUAGGAAUUUGGUAUUCAUAAUUAUGAAUAUGUAAAAAGAAUUGGGAAUUUAUAUUAAUUCAUAAAAUUUUCGCUUUAAAAUAAACUAGUUACGAGGUUUAAAGUUUGGAUAUUAAUUAUUGAAAAUUUGUAGACCUUUCAAGGUCAAAAUUUAUGUACGGAACGCAAUUUGGAGAUAUAAUGAAGAAGUUAUUAACGCUUAAAGUCGAGGGUAAAAUUGUAAAUUUAUCAUUUAUAAAAUGCUCUAGAUUUUUUUAGCCAGAUCUAGAAGGCCACGUGUGUGGCCCAGAUUAAAAGUAAGAAAAGUUAGGCGGUGGAGAUGGAAGAUAAAGGAGAGAAAUGAGGGAGAGACAAGCCAAUGAGGAAAGGGGGAGAUGAGUGAGAGACCAAUGGGGAGAGAGAACCGGGAGGGAAAGGAGAGGAAGGGGACAAGGGGAAUCGGGACCCGGGCCUUGGUGACCCGACCCGGUUCAGCGCCACACAUAUUUCCGAUGGAAUUUCACCCAUUUUUUCCGGUGAAUUGGGUCAAACAACCAUUUGGAAACCCCUCCACAACCUUCCGUCUCCCUAUUACCACCAAAAAUCAUGAAGUUUGGUCUUGAAAUUGGGAAGAACACACCCGAGGGUGCCGCGACCUACCUUGCUUAAAUCCCACCAAAUCUGAAAUGAUUUGAUUAAAUUUCCACCACCAGUAGACUCAUAUUAACCCCAAUAACAAACCCCAAGCAAUGGUUAGGGCGUCGGAGUUUGUUUGAAGUCGAAUCAAGGAUACCCAUUUCUAGGGUUCCAGCGGGUUUGGGCCAAAUUGGAGCCUUUCUAGACAAAAUUGGAUUGGCCAUAGGUAUAAAGUUUUCUCUACUCUUUGAGAUCUUCAUUUCUGUAAUUUUUGAGAAUUUUAGAAAUAAUUGAAUUUUUCGGCCAGUCGAGGCGGCCAACCGCCACCCGUGGCGGCGGGUGCAGCAGCGCAUGGCCAGGGAGCCGACAAUUGUUCUUUAUGAGAAUUUCAUUAUUCUAAUUAUGUUUUUGAGAUCAAAAUUGUUGUGGUUUGAAUAUUAAUAUGAUUUUGGUAUAUGUUGGAUUAACUGCAUAUAUUCAGAUUUGUUUAAUUUUGGAAUUAGUGAACUACGAAAUGCUUGAUCCCACUCCAGGGUACGUAGGCAGUCUAACAGUGUUAGAUGCAGCCUUAAAUAACCCGAAAAAUAAUUCUUACAAUGAGAAGUGUGUUAUAAAAGGAAAUAGAGACAAGAUGAUAAUAAAUUUGUACGUUUGGUGUUUAAUUUUUUUUAUUUAUUUAUGAAUCAAGGUCGGAAACAAGACAUAGAAUUAAAGGAAGGGAUUUAGUAAAUAAUUUGAGUUUUUACCUUAUUUUUUUUAGUCGAUUUUGAAUGUAAGGUAAGGAUUAGAGAAUUGACUAUGGUAGAAAACAAACAAUUAAUGGUAAUCAACUAAACAUGAUUUUUAAGUUGGGCCUAUCAAAAGUAAUAACAUCAUUUCCCGAAUUAAAGAAUUUAUUCGGGGCGGGGUGUUACAAGUAGAGUUCAAUGAAAGGAACAACAUUCAUGCCUGGGCCAAAGUCUAAUUCGACCGGGAAACACCUGAAAUCGCCCUUGAUUCGCCAGAAACCGCCACCGGCAGCGGCACGUGGCCAGUGGGCCGAUAUUGCCUUUUUACACAAAAUUCGAUAUUUUAAAUCCGUAAUUAGUAUCCAUUCAAUGUGAUUCGAUUGUUAAAGUUCAAUAUUGAAUAUUUCCGCUACUUGAAUAUUUUCGAAAAUGGACUAGAAAUGAAAUUGUGAACUAUGAAAGGCUUGAUCCCGUUCAAGGGUAUGUAGGCAGUCUAACGGGAGUUAGAUGCAGCCUUAAAAUAACCGAUAUUAAUCUUUAUCGAAAAUUAGAAAUAAGAAAAGGAAUUGGGUGUUUAGUUUAAAGAUUAAUCCUAUGUUUUUGGUAAAUAAAUUUAACUAUCGAUUUUGUGAGAAAUUAAGAAUUUAUUAAAUAAAUUGUAAUGAAUUGUAGUAAGUAAACAAGAGUUUAUUUUUGGCCUACCACUAAAUGUAAAUUCCGAAAUUAGUUUCUAAAAUAAAAAAUUUUGGGUCGGGGCGUUACACACGCAUGUAGAAGAAAUGGUCCAUCCACAUAAAAACCAAAGCCUAUAAAAAACUAAAACUACUUUGAGCCACUGACACUAUGUUCUAGCGGUAUUCAUGUUAUGUCUGUUUGUAAGUGAUAGGUUUUAGAUUUGACUCCAAUAAAUAACAAGUUCGACACAAUUACUAUUGCCCAUUUUGUGGCUUAGCUCAACCUCUGCCCCUAAUGUCGUUGUCUCACGAAAAGAAAAGAAAAACUUUGAAAUUAAAUCCUUAAUAUAUUGUUAAUUGGGGACCACUUUGUUGAAUAAUUGAAUUGGUUCUCAUGCAUGUUGCACAUAGUGCGGUUAAUUGAGUGUGAAUUAGUCUAUCUACUAAGCAUGAAUCAUGUUUUUUGUUUUAAAGGACCUACUAGUGGCUUUGCCACGACAGUCCAUCUUCUUGGGAGUUGAGAGACUCACAUAGACAUUUCAGCAUCUCCUAGUCACUACGUGUGAUUCAUUAGCACCAUAAACCUAAUCCAAAACAUGCCGUGUAGAAUAUGAGCUUGAAAUUCGUUCCCAACUAUUGGGUCAUCCUGUAGUGGUUACUAAGCAUGAAUCUUUCGCAUUUUGUUUUUUGAAGAAACAUGCGCUCCUUUGCAAGUUAUUAUGACGAGGCUGGCACUUGGCAACUUGGCAACUUGGCAUGCAUGCCAUGCUGCUUCCAAUUCUACCAGUACGAAAUGUCCUUAAAUGAGUGUGAUUUAGCCUAUCUCCUAAACCAGUCGUGAAAUUUAAACUCAUUUAACGGAUUAGCUGUCCACUGUAAACAGUAACAUCUAAUCCGGUAACAACACUCACGAAGCUGCAGUUUGGCACCGAGGGAAAGUACGCGAUUUUCGUAUAUGUUGAUGGACAUCCCGUGUUAACAAGCGCAUGUAGUUUUAAUGUGUAGGGACGUACGUAUAUACAUACACAGCCUGUAAAUUUUGCUUUUGGUUUAAGCAUCGAUGGUUGACGGUGGAAAAAGGUGGUCCAGGACAUUACUGCGAGUGCCAGAACGAGCUAGCUCUCCUGGCUCGUCUGUGAGUCUCUGACUAACCACCACUAGGUUCCCUACCGCUACCUGCAUCCUGUUCGUGUGCAUAAAAUACUGACAGACAAUGUAGCAUAUCGGACAGGCAACGGAAGGAAUUCACCAUCAAUGUUCACGACAGAUGAGAGAAACACAAAUCAUAAGUUCAUAAUUAAUACGAAAGAUUUCACAUCGAACGAACUAGUUUUGCUUUAGAGUUUAGUCUACAAGGCUUCUCAUAGAACCAAAUCGGUAACCAAGUUACGAAAUUCUGAUAAGGGUACUGCAACAUCUGAACAAAUCAAACUCCUUUGUAUACAAUAUAUAUUAAACUUCCAUUUCAUGUCACCAGCAAUGAGAAACGAAAGGAAAGAGCGAGUGCACGACAUGAAAAUUCCAAACAGAAUUUCCAUGGCUACUGUACAAUUUCUCAAGGCGGAAAAGAAGAACCGACUAUAACAGCCAACAAGAACAAGCUAAUAAGUAGGAAAACAAAAGCUAAACCAAAAACACUCACAUAUUCCUUUUUUCAGCUCAAUUUGUUCUUCAUUAGAUACCUGUUUGCUCGAUAUCCUUAAGAAGUCCGACAAUCUGAUGCAUGCUUGGUCGCUUUGAGGGAAGGUCAGCUGUGCACAGAUAUCCAAUCUUCAGGGCCUCCUCCAUUUGGUCAUCUGGUCCUGUGUCACGAAUUUUUGGAUCAAUAGCGCUCGACCCUUUGUUCUUUCUAAUCAAUCCUCUAACCCAGCUCACCAAGGUUGCAUCUUUCUCCUCUGGAUAGUCAUCGCCAUAUGGCUUCUUCGAAGUAAUCAGCUCAAAAAGAACAACUCCAAAGCAAUACACAUCAGAUUUUGGAGUUGGAGAAUCAUACUCGGACUGAGAAAACUCCGGUGGCACAUACCCUGGUGACCCUCGAGAGAUCUCUUCAUCUAGGCCACUGCCGAAAAUCUUAGCCAGACCAAAAUCAGAUAAUCUAGGCUCUAAGUUAUAAUCCAGAUAGACACUACUAGCUUUAACGUCUCUAUGAAUAAUCGGAGGUGAGCAACCGUGGUGUAGAAAUGCCAGUGCUCUGGCAGUGCCAAGUGCAAUCUUGUGACGGAACCUCCACGAUGUUAACAACCCUUCAGAACCAACAUUUUGAAUGUCAUUGUUGUCUUCCUGUUCCCAAGUAUCUGUGCUCCAAUCCUCUGUUGUUUGCAGUACCCCGAGUGGCAAGUCAUGAAGCAAAUUCUGUAGAUUCCCGUUCUCCAUGUAGUCAUAGAUAGCAAUCCUUUGGUCCCCGGCCAAGCAAUAUCCAGUCAAUGGAACAAGAUUAGGGUGUUUGAUUCGACCGAGAUACUCAAACUCUCUUGCAGCUUCCUGGUCUGUCAUUGUAGAACCGUGGACCAAAACUUUCACCGCUACAUGGAUUCCACCCGGUAGAAAUCCUCUAUAAACAGGCCCGAAUUUCCCUUCAGCCAAAAGGUUUCCUCGAUCAAAGUUCGAAGUUGCAGAUAAGAGGUCUGAGAAUGUGAAAUUCAACAAUGGCUUCUCGAAAAUCACUACAGGUACUGAAUUUGCUUGCUUAACAUCUGCAACCCAUGUUGUUGAAUCGGUCUGGAAGGAAAAGGGGCCUGAUACGUUUUGCUCUUCCUUGUGUGAGGUUUGUUUUACCUCCCACAUUCUGGUUUUCCUUCUGCAACCAACUGCUAGAAACAGCAAACCAGCAAGCAAGCAUACCAUUGAGAAGGUCAAAACCAAAGCAAGCUUUAGACCCUUUUGCUGCCUAGCCUUAUUGGAUUGUGCUCUAAAAAGGUCCGGUUUUGCUGCAAUGGGACAGCUGUUUGUUGAACCAAAGAAAGAUGCUUGGAGGGUUGCGUUGGAAAUUUCAGAAGCACAAAGUGUCAAGUUAUUGUAAGAGAAGUUGAACCUCUCCAUCCAAGGGAGUUUCCUCAAGAGCGAUGCAGGGAUCUCUCCGCUUAAAUUGUUGUCAGAAACAUCAAAAACUUGGAGAUUUCUCAAACUCAGCAAUGGGAUUCUGCCUAUGAGAUGGUUUUCAGAAAGAUCAAGUGUGUUCAAGUUACUCAGCUGGGAAAUUUCAGCAGGAAUACGACCCGUAAGACUAGUUUUCGACAAGUUCAGGUACUCCAAACCCGAAAAAGUUUUCACAUUUCUCCGGAAUUUCUGCCUUGUAAAAUUAUUGUGGGCGAGAUUAAGGUGUUUGAGAUUCUGGGAUUGAAUCCAAUCAAGUAAAAUUUCUCCACCAAGCUGAUUCUCAGACAAAUCUAAAUAAACCAAACGAGACCAAUUGUAGCUAGCAUUGAAUUGUACCUUUGAAACGUCGCCUUCAAACCGAUUCCUGCUCAGGUCUGCCACCUCCAGCAGCUCCUUAAACACUCCCAUCACUGAACCCUGAAACACAUUCCCUGAAAUGUUCAGAGAAGUAAUGGAAUUCAUCUCCGAAAAAUCGGAGUCCCGGCCUUGAAUCCCAUUCCCAGCAAGGUUCAAUACUUGGAGCUUAGGCAAUGCGGCACCAAAUCCAUCUGGAAGAGAACCGUUUAACCGAUUCGACGAAAGGUCAAUCCAAACCAGAGACUGACAGCUCAAAAUUCCUGAUGGGAUGCUCUUCUCAAACGAAUUUCCAUUGAGCUUAAGAACUCGCAGACUGGCAAGUGAGCUUAUAUCUGCAGGAAUCUCACCAGAGAAAUUGUUGUUGGAAACGUCGAGGGUUUCGAGCAGACCGAAGUUGCCAAUGUUGUUAGGCAACGACCCGGAAAUCCGGUUGUUGGAGAGAAUAAGGUGCUUGAGAGAACCUAGGCUCCACAAAUCCGAAGGCAGACUGGUGAUUUUGUUGCUGCUAAGGUUUAAAGAUUGGAGCUUUGUGAGCUUUCCGAUGGUUGUGUCCGGAAUCGGACCGGAGAGCUCCAAACCGGAAGCCUCAAAUCCGAUAACAUUGUUGGAUUCACAGAAAACUCCUUUCCACGAGCAAACAGGUGCAGAAAAGUUGUAGAGAUUGGAAGAAGAAGAUGAAGAAAAAGAACCCAAUUGUUUCAAAAACUCAGAGACAAAGAACCCAUCCGUGUUGGGCUGUUGGGAAGCUAAUGGAUUCAAAAGCAGGGAAAAAACUAGUAGAGAAGCAAAGAAAAUAUAACCCAUUUGGAAAAAUAGUGCAGCAGAGAAAAGGAUGUGAGAAAGUUUAAACCUUUCUUUCUCUCUCUAUCACUUUCUCACUCUAGAGCUUCAGAAGCAGCAUUGCAGUAACAUAAAUGGUUCUGGGUCCAUCUCAGAAGCACUUGCUUGGGGACUCUGCAGCUCCAUUAAAUCAACUGCAGAGUCUAAAAGAGUGGGUUUUGGGUUUUGGAGAAGAGAAUAUUGUUAGGCUAAAACUCCCCCAAAAAAAAAAAACAAGAACUUACAUGCAGGAUUUUGUUGGGUUUGUGGUCCUUGUUAUCCUCCUAAGAAAACCCCCCAAAAAAAAAGCACUGGGAAAAUAAGCCAAUGGGUGAAGCAGCACAUGCAAGUAACAAACUUAUUGGGUUCUCAAAGAGUUGACGGUUUUCUGGGGUUUGGAGAGUGGGGGAAUGUGAGCUCACCUUUGGUGGUUUUGCAGGUCCAUGACCAUGAAAUCCUGCAGAAACAAACAACUAAAAAGAGGAAGCAAUUUUGUCUGUGUGUGUGGAGAAGUAGAAUAUGUGAGCAGCAGCAAGAGGAGGAGAAUGCUCUAGUUUUUGCUGCAUAUAUUUUGUUUAAAACAAACAAACAAAGGAGACUGUCAUGUGAUUUUAAGUGAAAUGAAAACAAGGAGACCGUGAGGAGAGAGAGAGAGAGGGAGAGGGAGAGGGAGAGGGAGAGGAAGGAGGGUAUAUUGGGAACGAGAGAUUUUUAAAUGUGAUUGGAAUAUAGAGAGCAACAUCACAUGUUAUUGUACAAUUGGAAACACGCUAGAAAAAAAUAAAAAAAUAAUUCCUUCAAUUGUACAAUGAUAUGUAGCGUUCUAAUCUGUGUUCUGGACACACUGAAAAUCCGUUAACGGGAAAGAAGGGGUAGACAGGAGUUGAGCUUCAUAAAUGAGAAAGGUUUUAAUGGAGGGAAGUAAAUAUCUAGUAUUUGGGUUGAUGACAACUUUAUGUUGGUGGGAAUUCAGUGAUGUUCUACAUGGAGUGUUGUUUUUUUUCAUCAUUCAUUCUUUUUCUCUAAUUAAAAGUUGGUUGAUAUCUUUAUCAGAUUGAAUUCCAAUUAGAAAUUGGCAAAUUGCUACUAUAGAAGCUAAUCACCAUCUUUUAAUAGUGUUUUGUUAGAAUACUGCCAAUCAAGUGUAUUAUGUAGUGUUCUUAUACACUAAGUAGUAAUUAUUUGUUUCUACACAAAAAAAAAAAUUGAGUAGAAGUGUUUGAUUAAAUUAUUCGUAAAAUAAUUUUUACAAAAAUAUGAACACAUGUAUUUUGCCUUAUUCGGUCUUAUUCCGGUUUUACUUUUAAGAGUGUAUGGACGUUAGUUUUCAUUUUGAAAAGUAUCAACCUUUUGAAAACAAAAUUUUUUGUUUUUUUUUAUAAUCAAAAUAGAACGGACAGUGCUAAUGCUAUUCCCACAUUUGUUUUUACUUGUUACAUUACAUUGUUAAUUUUUUACCAUUAAUCUUUUUGAAAUCAUUCGGUCUGAAAACCGAAAAUUGAAAGGAGUAUAUAAUAAGUGAAAAUAGGUAUGUGUAUAAUAUUAUCCAAGAGAAAUUAUGACCAUUUCCCCAACUUUCCGUAAAGCAUGAUGGACAAUCAGUUCAUACAACUUUUACUUUGACAUUUAAAUGUAUUGAUUUUCACUUUAAAUAACUUAUAUAUGAACUCAUGAUUUGCCCUUAAUGACGUUACGGAUAGAAAUCAUCUCCGGAUCUCUUCCUCCAAAUCCCAAAGAUCAAGUGAUCCGGACCUUUAAAAUUUGAACAAACGGCUAAAAACAGAGAAGUGAGUAAAAAGUUUUAAAAGCUAUAAUAGUUUUUAACCGUUGGAUCAAAUUUUUAAAGGCCCGGAUCACUUGAUCCCUGGGCUUUGGAGGGAGAGAUCCAGAGAUGAUCUCUUUCCCAAUGUUACAAGUUGAUCAAAUGAAGGGAAGUGUGUAAUUUGCGGAGUAAAAUUCUCUCUCCUCAUAUUCUCUUUUCCUCUCACACUUUGAUGUUUGUUCUUUUGUUUUUAUUAAAAAAUUAACACAAUAUGUUAAUGUGACUUAAUCGUAACCGUUCAAAUAAAAAAAAAAAAGACAUAAAUUAGAAGGAAAGAGAAUCAUACUCCGUAAUUUGGUGGCGGGUGGGGAGUGGGGGCGGGGGCGGUGUUGGCGGAAUAUAUUUCAAAGGAUUAGCUUAGAAAUGGUUGGUGUGAUGUAGCGUUUUGUUGACUUAAACAUAUGCACUUCAAAAAGGUUCUCCCAAUGAGAUUAUGAGUCCCACCCAUUUCGAUUAAACAAGUGAUUUACACCCUAACCCAUCAUCACCAUUAAUUAUACUUAAUGGUGGGUCCAGUCUCUUAGUAAAAUUCAAGAGACUAUGAUCACUCCCGUCAAGACUCAACCAUCUCGAUUGUUUAUUUGGAAAGGAGCUUUAAACACCCCACUGCAACAAUAUUCUAAAUUAAUAAGCGAUUUCUUAUGUUUCAACUUUUAUAUAUUUUAGCCGGCACUGACUAAGAAUAUUGAAAUAGUGGCAUACCGGUAUAAGUAAGUCUCUCUCGUUCAAUUAGGGGGGGUCAAUCACAUGAUUAGAAUUAAAAAACAGCUGUAGUGGUGUUGAUGAUUGAGUAAACUAAUCCGUGUCUUGUUUCUCUGUAUCUUUCGUUCCUCUGAGGAUUUGGCUUGGGGUGUGACUGAAUAAUGAAAGUUAAUAGAAUAUAAUUACUGUAGUCAUGCUGAUUUAGACACCUUUGCAUCGAUCAAACUCAAGGCACAUGAGGGCUUUGACAAGUUUAGACGACGACCCUUGUCCUAGUGGAGAAAGAAAACAACAAAUUAAAUUAAGUAAUUAUGCAGGUAGGUGUUUGCACAUGGGAAAAUGCCCACUUUGUCAAAAUCUUAGACGGUAUCGCUUGUGAUUGUAUUUGAUAGAGAAAUUUGUAAGUGUUUUUUGAUGGAUACGGUGUUAUCUUCAUUAAAGGGUGAGAGAGUCGACUAUGACUCACAUGAUCUAUCCAUAAUAGUUUGGUCCUUCGUUUUUGGCGAGAUUGAACAUAAAAUCUCUCACUUACAAAUGAAGAGAAAUACCAAUAGACCGCUGUGCUAAAAACAUUUCCAAUCGGGGAUCUAUAUUGAGUUGUAUAGAGAUGUCAAAGUAGUUUACAUCCCACAUACACAUCUCCAAGAUUGGAGAUUCUCCAAGUGAUUAGCGUUAGCGUUGUUGUGAAAAAAGCACUUACGCCAUGAAGCAUUUACGAACAUAAGUGUUUUCUAUACCGACAUUCCAAAUAAGAAUGAUAAAACGGCAUUGUAUAGAAAGUGAGUUGAGCAGAUCGGGAGCACGCCAAGACUCAACAAGAAAGAGAAUGGAGGAAGAUUACAUCAAGUCGUAAUAAUUUGCACUGAUUGAGGGGGGGUUAAGGUGAGGAGUAAUAAAAAAACCACCGACACACAAGGACUAAUGAUAAUUGAAACGACCAACCCCCCAUAACACUUGGUUUCAUGAUAUUGCCAAUUUGCCAGCUGCAAACCUACUCCUCGGACAAUCAUGCUCUGUCACUGUUGUGUUACUUCUCCACGAAGCCGCGAGCACAUAUAGCAUGAGUUGGCAAAAUCUUGGGUGUAACCGAAGGUAUUUUCCUCUCACCAACUUUCUUAUCAAGAGAGAGAGAGAGAGAGGAGGAGGAUAUACCCCCAUUACACGCUUAGAAACUUUCCUAAGAGUUGCACCCAUGCAAAGUAUAGAGAUGUCAUCGAAAUUUUACGAUGAUCACUAAAAGAUGAAAAAUUUAAGAUCCUAUAAAGUACCCAAAAUUUCAUACAUUACAAUAGAACACAACCCUCAAAAGUUAUACUGAUUGAUUGUAGGCAACCAGAAAUAGAUUUAUAGCAAAACAAAAAGCUUAGUGUAUCUCGGAAAGACCGAAAACACGUAAUCCUUCAGCUAAUACAAUUAUCCGUCCAUGAGAAAUUCUCCCCACAGCAGUAAGAUACAGUUCACCUGGUCUGAGCUCUCUUCCUCUCCACUCCAAACGCAACACAAAUAAUCGCCCCGUAUUACAAUUUCUCUCAACAUCUACAGCAAACCAACAAUCUGUCCAUACAAGUUUGACUUAUUCUGUCAUAUCCGGAGGGGGUGAUUUCCAGAACCAUACCUGUCUGGCUUUGUUUUUUUCAUCUGCGAUCUCUGGGUUGCAAUCUUUUGGAAUGGAUUUGGUCCGCCAAAUGUUUCUUUGGGUUGCCUUACCCUCUUUCUCUUUCCGCGAUCAUAUUCUUCAUCCCUGCAUCAAUUAAACAUUCCACAACUUGUCAGAAGAUUUUAUAUGUAAUGCGUUAACUGGUGAAAAUUCAUGCUGAUUAGUGUGACAUGCAAGGGAUUCCAAACUCACCAUUCGUCAGGUAUAUAACCAAUGCUGACACUCUUUGCACGGCUUGAUUCUACAAUACGAGGAGGAGGCAAUUCUAUUCCGUCCCAACGUGCAACUGCAACCAACAUAUUUUUUUGAGAGAUACAAUCAGGAAAUUAUAACCACAAUAACAUUAGGUAACAUCAGUUUCAAUGGGCUUCUUGUUCAUAUUUUCUAGAAGACAGAAGAAAGAACAAACAAAACAAAAAACAAAUAAGUAAUAAAGGUUUAUCCAGCAUUCGAAACUAACAGAUCAAUUGGGUAGAAGUGAAGCUCAACUUGCCAAUCAGCAAUAGAUAUAAAUGCAGAAGGCAUUGCAAUUGUAUAUAGGCAACACAUGCAUGACUACAUAACGGCAUGGCAUAUAUGCAAAUACUACAAAACUACCAGCAACCAUGGAUAUAUAUGGUCAGGAGGGCAGAGUCCUAGAUAAUUUACUCACCCAUUGUCUCGUCAAGACCUCGGGUCAGCACACCAAUCCCUCCAUUUUGCAUUCUAUCCCUUUUACAAUUGUGUGGGGUAUCAUUUUCCCCGGUCUCCCGCAGAUUUUCUUUUGAGAAAGAGCUAGAGACAUUACCAAUUUGUAAUCUUUUAUCACUUGCAAGCACUGUACCAUUCUGACCAACACUUUCUCUAAACUCACCCUUAUUGGCAGCCAUUAAAGAAUGACCAUGAGAUUUCAUUUCCAGCUUUUUAUCAGUUCCAUCUGCAUCCUUUUUUAAGCCAGAUUUGGUCCCCUUCCUCUUAGACUUUUGCUUAGAAGGAGUAGAAACCAAGGGAAUUGACCGGGUUUGCUCAGAUGUAGAUGGCCCCAUAUCAGAUAAGCAAGAAUUGUCCAUAACAUGUUUCUUAAGAAGGCUACUGGUAUCUGAAGAUGGGUGCUUACUCCUUUUGUGUUUUUUCUUCUUCUGUACGCUUAAGACCGCCCGGGAAAGUAAGCCAGGUCGUAACUGCAUGCAAGCAACCUUAGACUUUAGCUGCUUCUUUUUCAAUUUUCUAUGGCGUUUGCAAGCAGAAGAUUUCACAAGCAACGAUCCAUAUGUCACAAUUAAUGAGGAGCCAGACAAUUUUGCUGACUCAUCAAUUACUACUUUUUGGCCUGAAUCACCAGUCUUCUCACCCAAAACAUUACAAGCAGCACUUCCAUUGGUAAAACUUCCAACCUAAAAUAUAAAAGAAGUUAAAUCAUGACAACGCAACCUAUCAUAAAAUGCAUAAAAAAUACAAAAAAAAAAAAUACCUGACUAAUUUUAGAGCUUGGUUGAUCUGAUGAUUUGACAGUGUGAAUUCCCUCCUUUUUCAUACCGCCAGGAACUCUGGAUGAUGUACUCAAGUCUCCCUUAGAGGAUACAAGAUUAUUCUAGAUGCAUAAACAAAUUAAAAACUCAAGCACCAAACAAAAGUAAAAUAUCAAGUAGGUAAAAACUAGAGAUAUCAAAGUGUAUAGAAGAUAUGUUGCAUCCACUUACAUUAUGAGGGGUCUCAUCUAGUAUGGGUUUAGAAGCCUCAAGGCUUUCAGGGUCCUUGGCAUUGGGUGCUAUGACACUGGAAACACCACUGUUUUCAACUGACCUUCCUCUCCCAUUAAGGUCAGUUUUAUUGCCAUCAGCUUUUGCAGCUGUGGCAUUUUCAGGAUCCGAAGUGCCACCAUUUCUAGUUGGAGGUGAUCGUAGCAUGUCCUUUCCCAAUGUGGGAAUCGGAAUGGAAAUCCCUUUCAAUGAAUCCUUUGGUAAUGAUGAAGAAGAAUCUGAAACAGGUUCCUUCAUACACACCAUAUUUUCUGCCGCAUUUUUAGAUUCAGAAGCACCACCACUGCUGCGGCUUGGAAUGGAAAACCCUUUCAGCGGGUCUUUUGAUAAAGAUGGAGAAGACUCCCAAACAGGUUCCUUCAUAGGCACCAUAUUUCCUGCCACUGUCUGGCAAUUAGUUGAUGCUUCCUUCAAAAGGGGCACCAUAGGUGGAACUAUAGUUGAUUUUUGUGUCAUAACGAUAGAUGAGGAUGGACCACUGGAUCUGCCCUCAACAGAAACAUUCUGAACCGGUCCUUUGAAGCCUUGGUUGUUAGUGCAACGAGUUUUUAAUCCAGCUCCAUUUGCAUUGAAAUUCUCCCUUCGAGCAACUUCAACAGGCUUCCUUGGUAUUAUAUUUCUUCUAUCGCGGACAUAAAACAACAUGUAAGCCUUCUGUUCUAAAACAAUCCUCUCACUAACUUGGUAGACCUGUUGCAUCAUAGUUGUGCAAACUUGUAAGAAACCUUGAUUACUUUUUUUCAUUUCAUAUGCAAUUUAAAGAUUGUGGAUUUACUGCUGCCCUGUCCCUCAAAUAUGGUACUAGCAUUUCUUUCUCAUAUAUCAAGUAUACCCAUCCAAUCGGAGUCAUUCAAAGAUAAAAACUCAGUACAUCUUUGGACAAGGGACUUAUAAAAGGGAUUUGCAAUCCCAUUUGAAAAGUGGUUGGGAACCAUAGAAAGGGAAUAUGUCAAUUUCGGGUGGGACUUGAUAAUGAGAUUUAGAGCCCGGAACCCCACCUCAAGGUAGACAAACAUGAGUGGCUUAUAAAGUCCAUUAGAAGAGAACUUAGUCCAACACUGAACCAUGGACCCACAACUAAGGAUCUAGGACCCUGGACACUCAAACCCAGGAUUCCGAACCUAGUGGCCGAGAUGCGAGACCCAUGACCUGAGACCCAAGACCUGGGAACAAACCUGAAAACCAGGACCACUGAUCCGAGACCCAGACCAAGUAGUCAGAACACCAGACCAAGGUUCAGGACCCAAGACCCUGGACCAAGGGCACAGGCCAAACAUGUUGUAUAAGUUCUUUAAAUGAAUCCUACCACACUUGAUUGUUUAACCAAACAAGUAAAUUCAGGGAUCAAUCUCAUCUUUCCAAAAUCCCACCGUUUUUAUCCUUUGUUACUUCUAAUACCUCAUCCAAAGGGAAACUUUCAGCAGCAAAUGAUUAUAAUCAAUAUGUUGACAUGGGACAUCUAAGAUCCAUAAAGUUGGGUUACACCAACUUGGUCAAUCCAAAUUGUUAAGUAUUAUGAGGAACAGUGAUAUCUCAAUUAUCAACUCACCUGGUUGUCAUCAAGAGAGUACCACAUGCCACUUGAUGUGCGAACAUAGCAAUAAUAAUGGCCAGAAUAGGUGGUAGCCCCACAAUGAACAAGAACCCCAUAGAGAGUAUAUUUCAAAUCCCCUUCCUGCCAAGUAGAAUGUAAAACAGGAUUAGAAUACAAAACCAUGAUGUGAAUGGCACAAAACAUAAUCAAAUCAGCAACAUAUGACUUUUGGCUUCCUUUAAUGUGUUACCCCAGUCAUAAACCUAAUGGUCCAAAUUCUAAUUCCAAAUUUAACCUUUUUCAGCAAAAAGGACCAAAAUUAAGAUACAGUUUUCAACAAGUAUUGGGCAAGAUUAUGAAAUAUGAAAUAAAAUCAUAAGUAAACAGAAUCAGGGACUUGCGCAUCAAAUGCCACAAUGUUUCUUUUAAAUUGGUUCAUUUGUAAAAUGGAGAAAAAAUUUAGAAGUAAAGCUUGCAUGGCUAAAAAAGCUUGAAUACUUACGUAGGAACCACUAACAAAUGGCUUCAAAUCCAAUGUAGGGGCAAAUUUUACAUGUCUAUCAAUUUUUCGUCCAGGAUCAUGUGCACGAAAUCGCUUCAAAUGGAUGGUAAGUACAUAAGGAGGCUUUUGAACAGUCAUCUGUUUGAGAGCCCGAACUUUCUGAUUGCAUCGUUGGCACUGAUAUUGCCUUUCCCCUCCAUCUAACUGUUCUGAGGCGGUAAAUUUUGCAAGUGCUUUUUGCACGGAAUCUGCGUUGAAUAUUUCAAGACUUAAAUCUAAGAAGGGGUCAAACUUGUUGGAGCAAUAGGAGCACUGCAAACAUUUGACCUGAAUAAAUAAUAACAAAUCGGGUUAUGAAAUAUCAAGUAUACUUAAAUUCCUUACCUUUUUACAAAAAAAAUAUAAACUCCCAUUCACUACAGUAUCUCAAAAACCACAAAGUCUACCAUUACAAUUCUUACCUGGCUUCGAAGGCGACCACCAAAAAUCUUGUGUACCAAGCUCUUCUCGUAGGCACUUGGGGAUUCGCUGGGCACACCAGAAGGUAAACAGCAUUUAUGCAUGGAUUCCAGCAAGUUUACCAUGUAUUCAUGUGCAUCCUCCUGUCUAGACUUAGUGAAAGUUCGAGAUAUGCCUUAUCAUUUGUCAAGGAUUCCAACUUCAAGCAUAGAAACAACAAAAAUAAACCCAGCACAACACUUAUAAACUGACCCUGAUCUUAACCUUAUGAAAAUGCAAAAUUGGAGUGGUGAACACAAGAAACUUCUUGAUGAACACUCCCUUAAACUUGCUCCAAUCAGAUCAUUUGGAUAUUAGUUAUCCCCCUGAGAAUUUUUUUUUUCAUGCUUAUUAAAAAUCAACUUUGACUGUAAACUAUAAAAAUAAAUAAAAAAUAAUAAAAAUUCAUUCAUAGAAGAAUUUAAAAAAAAAAUUGAAUAUUUUUAUUUUUCUUCUUUAUUGACACACUUGGUUGUCGAGCAUGUUGAAUAAAUAAGAACUCCAUCAACAAAGGAGAAGGUUCUGUGGACAAACAUGGGAGUCCAAUGAGUACGUCCAACUAUAUAUGGCAGAAAUAUAUCACCACAAAACAUUUCAAGGAUACAUCGUAAGUUAAUGACUAGAUCCUUUGGAACCAAAAUUCUCCCGGUUGAUUGUAGAGCAAGACUAACGUGCUUCUGGAUGGCACAUAAAGCACAAAACCCAGCAAUAUGGCCUGUAAAAACAAAAUCAAACAAAUUAGCUAUGCACAUAAAUUCAACAUUCUUCACACAUGCACAUGUAAGCACGUUUGAGCGCUGGCUUACCCCUACUUUACAAAUGGAAUAUUACGACACUUUUUUUGUUUAUGUUAAUUCCUUCCAUGCAAACACACAGACACAAAUAUGUGACAUUUUUUUGUCUAUAUUAACUUGUUGCAAACGUCCAAACUAAGGGCAAGUCUAGAGUUUUCGGAGGAGUCCUUACAUGAAUUUCGAUGCUUUCCACUUUGCAAGUAUGCAGCUAAAGGCUCAGUAUAUGUCAGACACUGCAACACUGAAUUGAGAUAACAAGUGUUCCCCAUAUUCCUCAAACCGGCACCCUGAAAAUUACACAAACCAUUUUCACUGUCAAGCAACUAGGACCCAAAAGAAUAUUCGGAGAACAACCAAAUGCAGCAAUAGUAUUACCAUCAAAACAUCACAUAACAGAAUAUUGACUAUGAAACAAUUGAAAGGAAAAACAAAUUCAACCGAAAAUCGAUUUGACAUAAGAAGCCAAGCAACAAAACUCUGAAUUCAUCUAAACAAAACAUAUAACAAGCCCGAAUCGAAAAAUGCGAAAUGAUUCAAUUUAACUAAGCAAAAGAAAGAAACAUCAGCACGACCAACCAAACACAUAAGUAAUAGUGAAUGGAAGUAAGAGAAGAAAGCGAUCAAAGGCAACACUUUGACUCACAAUUCUCCGGAAGGUGAUGCCAAAGCUGAGCUCCGGAUCCAACCCGUUCUCCAAAAACUCGGACCGAUCCGUUUUCUUAGCCGUCAAACUCGACUGACCCUGAUUAGAGCUGCUACCGCCGCUGUUGCUGCUUCCGGGGUUCAAGGUCUCGAGCCUAAAGUCACCGCCACCAGUGUUAAGGCCAUUGAAGGGCUUCCUCGCUCGGUGGAACUCGAUACGCCUCUGAAGCGGAUUCGACCCGGUUUCCGAUUCGGGCAUUAAAUCCGCAAAGCCCUCCGAUUGGAUUUGGAGCUCCGCCGUUUGCACCAAAGCGUCGGCCAUUUCAGGAGCCGAAAAAGUUGCAAUUUUGCAGGGAAAGUUUCGAUUUUUGUUCUAUGCGUAUUGAAUUUCUCUCUCGGGAAUUAGAAAUUAGGGUUCUAAUGGCGGAAAUGUUUGUGGGGAUUUGGGAGAAGCAGAGAG
This 36340-nucleotide long non-coding RNA is filed under the name Malus domestica (apple). Its description in RNAcentral is "long non-coding RNA (MDOM_LNC014586)". Lineage: Eukaryota; Viridiplantae; Streptophyta; Magnoliopsida; Rosales; Rosaceae. The record is from RNAcentral.